This 420-nucleotide ribosomal RNA is filed under the name Fusobacteriota bacterium. RNAcentral describes it as "Fusobacteria bacterium partial 16S ribosomal RNA". It matches the Rfam family "Bacterial small subunit ribosomal RNA", at positions 355 to 776 of the family's 1533-position model. The record is from RNAcentral. Lineage: Bacteria; Fusobacteriati; Fusobacteriota.
UGGGGAAUUUUGCACAAUGGGGGGAACCUUGAUGCAGCGACGCCGCGUGAGGGAUGGAGGCCUUCGGGUUGUGAACCUCUUUCGCUCGUGUGCAAGCCGCUAUUUGGGUAGUGGUGAGUGUAGCGGGUAAAGAAGCGCCGGCUAACUACGUGCCAGCAGCCGCGGUAAUACGUAGGGCGCGAGCGUUGUCCGGAUUUAUUGGGCGUAAAGGGCUUGUAGGCGGUUUGUCGCGCCUGUCGUGUAAUCCUCUGGCUUAACUGGGGGUGUGCGGUGGGUACGGGCAGGCUUGAGUGCGGUAGGGGAGAUUGGAAUUCCUGGUGUAGCGGUGGAAUGCGCAGAUAUCAGGAGGAACACCGGUGCGAAGGCGGGUCUCUGGGCCGUUACUGACGCUGAGGAGCGAAAGCGUGGGGAGCGAACAGG